Catharus ustulatus (Swainson's thrush) is the source of this 1696-nucleotide long non-coding RNA. RefSeq lists it as uncharacterized. The transcript is spliced from 3 exons. The record is from RefSeq and is a predicted model, not a curated record. Lineage: Eukaryota; Metazoa; Chordata; Aves; Passeriformes; Turdidae.
UCUUAUAAGGACUAUAUUGUAAAUUAUCAUUGUUUUGUUAGGCAAGUGAUAUGUUCUUUCAAAAAGCUGAUGGUACUUGGCUGGUGGUUUCAGAACUUGGGUAAAAAAUGGUUGUUUGUAGACAAAUCAAGACUUUACAAAACUUGUCCUACAUAUACGGAACUGCAUCUUUCAAAACUGGCAAGUCUUUCAGGCAUUCGAUAGAAAAUACUACAAAAUAAAGCUACUUGGGCAAAUAAGCAGAUUGUAAAUUGUCUAAGAGGACUUCCUACAUGAUAAAAAAAUAUUGAUUCCAUUACUGCACACUUGGCUUUAUGUUAUUAUGAAGGCCAGAUAACUUUUUAGCUUUCAAGCUGCCUUGGGAGUGUCAUGUGUCAUUCCCACAUUAAGAGGCAGAAGUCUAAAAAUAUCUAAAGUCCCUUAACAGAGCUGCAGUUUCACAAUGAGUCCCUAUGGAAUGUUUACAUAUUGGAGAAGGACUGCAUCAAAGUACACACACUUAUCAAAGAUGGAAAGGAGAAUACUCUGUCCCUCAGCAGGCCAUUGACCUGCCUUGCACUGAGGGGACAUUGUGCACUGAUGCAGACAGUACAAAUUUUAAGGCAGUCUAUAAAUUGACACAUUUUCUUAUAUGGGCAUGGAAAUCUUACCUGCAUGCUGAAAUUUAAAAUGUUUUUUGAAAACCAACAAAGGAGUCUUUGAAGAUAAAUCCUGUUCUGAUACACAUUUAAAAAUACAUCUGUUUUUUUCACCCUUCAAUAUUUAUUUUUAUUUUAAAUCAUUGGGACAUUUCAAAUUUAAGACAACUAUUUUAUUUAAAGACAUAACAUAGGGUGCAUCAGGGAGUAAAACUCCAGCCUUAAGCUGGUUUUAUCUUCCCUGUAUCUUUUCACAAGACAUGAAAUUAAUUGCCUCCAACUGAUACAUAUUUUUGUAUAUAUAUUUGCAGAAUCUACAUAUUAUCACUGGACAUUUUGGUAUUUUGGACUGGAUUAUUUAGCCACACAUUCCAAUCUAUGGAUAAUAUAUUCAUGACAGAAUUAUUCAGAGAUUACAUAACUGGAUCUUUCCCAAAAAGGCUUCUGACUUUUUAAAGUGUGCCUGCUUCAAAAGGACAGGAGCCUUCUUUUGGAUAGAGACAUCAAAUUGGCACUGGUGAGUUCUUCAGCUUCAUGCAUAGUAACUGGCCCAUGUGAACUGAUGAGAUUUCACUACAUAGCAGAAGCAUUUAAUGUUAUAAAAUUAAUAUCUGACAGCAGGUGUAAAAUGAAUGUCCAAUAUGACUGAAGAAACUGUCCUCACAAGAAAUUAAUCACUAUGGAUUGGAACAUACACCAAUGAAAGCUAAGUGAAAAACAAGAACAUUAGCAAGAACAGCAGAAAAUAACCAAAUAAUUGAACUAGUAAUGAUGUUUGUUUGUUAUUGUUAUCAAAUAUUAAUGAUUUUCAUAAAACCAGGAGAAACUGUGGUAAAUCAAAUACUAAUGAAGUAAAACUAUAUUAUAGUUUAAAAAUUAAGAAUGUUGUCUUAAAGAGACCAAAGGAGUGGAGAAAAGGGAGAGAAAGUUAAGUCCUCUGCAUACAAAAAAUGGGUCAAGCCACUGAAUUUUUCUGAGCAAGCACUUGAUCAGGUCUUCCUUCUCUUCUUUAUUCUGCUUCUGUAUAUAUACACUUUUAAACUGCAACUUACCUUAAA